UACGAAGGGGGCUAGCGUUGCUCGGAAUCACUGGGCGUAAAGGGUGCGUAGGCGGGUCUUUAAGUCAGAGGUGAAAUCCUGGAGCUCAACUCCAGAACUGCCUUUGAUACUGAAGAUCUUGAGUUCGGGAGAGGUGAGUGGAACUGCGAGUGUAGAGGUGAAAUUCGUAGAUAUUCGGAAGAACACCAGUGGCGAAGGCGGCUCACUGGCCCGGUACUGACGCUGAGGUGCGAAAGCGUGGGGAGCAAACAGG
This 253-nucleotide ribosomal RNA is filed under the name uncultured bacterium. RNAcentral's name for it is "partial 16S ribosomal RNA". It matches the Rfam family "Bacterial small subunit ribosomal RNA", at positions 524 to 776 of the family's 1533-position model. The record is from RNAcentral.